Molecule: ribosomal RNA, 253 nt
Filed under: uncultured bacterium
Lineage: Bacteria
Description: partial 16S ribosomal RNA
Rfam family: Bacterial small subunit ribosomal RNA
Source: RNAcentral
UACAGAGGUCUCAAGCGUUGUUCGGAUUCAUUGGGCGUAAAGGGUGCGUAGGUGGCGUGGUAAGUCGGGUGUGAAAUUUCGGAGCUCAACUCCGAAACUGCAUUCGAUACUGCCGUGCUUGAGGACUGGAGAGGAGACUGGAAUUUACGGUGUAGCAGUGAAAUGCGUAGAGAUCGUAAGGAAGACCAGUGGCGAAGGCGGGUCUCUGGACAGUUCCUGACACUGAGGCACGAAGGCUAGGGGAGCAAACGGG